GAGAUGGACUCGCGUCGCAUUAGCUAGUUGGUGAGGUAACGGCCCACCAAGGCGACGAUGCGUAGCCGACCUGAGAGGGUGAUCGGCCACAUUGGGACUGAGAUACGGCCCAGACUCCUACGGGAGGCAGCAGUGGGGAAUAUUGGGCAAUGGAGGAAACUCUGACCCAGCAAUGCCGCGUGAAUGAAGAAGGUCUUCGGAUUGUAAAGUUCUUUAGUCAGGGAAGAAGUCAAUGACGGUACCUGAAGAAUAAGCUCCGGCUAACUACGUGCCAGCAGCCGCGGUAAUACGUAGGGAGCAAGCGUUGUUCGGAAUGACUGGGCGUAAAGGGUGCGUAGGCGGUUGUACAAGUUAGAAGUGAAAUACCCAGGGCUUAACUCGGGUGCUGCUUCUAAAACUGUAUGACUUGAGUGCAGUAGAGGUUAGUGGAAUUCCUAGUGUAGCGGUGGAAUGCGUAGAUAUUAGGAGGAACACCAGUGGCGAAGGCGGUCUGCUGGACAGCAACUGACGCUGAGGCGCGAAAGCGUGGGGAGCAAACAGGAUUAGAUACCCUGGUAGUCCACGCUGUAAACGAUGGAUACUAGGUGUGGGGGGACUGACCCCCUCCGUGCCGCAGUUAACACAAUAAGUAUCCCACCUGGGGAGUACGAUCGCAAGGUUGAAACUCAAAGGAAUUGACGGGGGCC
Molecule: ribosomal RNA, 686 nt
Filed under: uncultured bacterium
Lineage: Bacteria
Description: bacterial SSU rRNA
Rfam family: Bacterial small subunit ribosomal RNA
Source: RNAcentral